RNAcentral lists this ribosomal RNA (592 nucleotides) under Escherichia coli. RNAcentral's name for it is "partial 23S ribosomal RNA". It matches the Rfam family "Bacterial large subunit ribosomal RNA", at positions 312 to 909 of the family's 2925-position model. The record is from RNAcentral. Lineage: Bacteria; Pseudomonadati; Pseudomonadota; Gammaproteobacteria; Enterobacterales; Enterobacteriaceae.
CUGAAUCAGUGUGUGUGUUAGUGGAAGCGUCUGGAAAGGCGCGCGAUACAGGGUGACAGCCCCGUACACAAAAAUGCACAUGCUGUGAGCUCGAUGAGUAGGGCGGGACACGUGGUAUCCUGUCUGAAUAUGGGGGGACCAUCCUCCAAGGCUAAAUACUCCUGACUGACCGAUAGUGAACCAGUACCGUGAGGGAAAGGCGAAAAGAACCCCGGCGAGGGGAGUGAAAAAGAACCUGAAACCGUGUACGUACAAGCAGUGGGAGCACGCUUAGGCGUGUGACUGCGUACCUUUUGUAUAAUGGGUCAGCGACUUAUAUUCUGUAGCAAGGUUAACCGAAUAGGGGAGCCGAAGGGAAACCGAGUCUUAACUGGGCGUUAAGUUGCAGGGUAUAGACCCGAAACCCGGUGAUCUAGCCAUGGGCAGGUUGAAGGUUGGGUAACACUAACUGGAGGACCGAACCGACUAAUGUUGAAAAAUUAGCGGAUGACUUGUGGCUGGGGGUGAAAGGCCAAUCAAACCGGGAGAUAGCUGGUUCUCCCCGAAAGCUAUUUAGGUAGCGCCUCGUGAAUUCAUCUCCGGGGGUAGAGCA